GGGUGGUAAUGCCGGAUGCUCCAGUUGGAUGCAUGUCCUUCUGGGAAAGAUUCAUCGGUAUGGGAUGGGGUCGCGUCCUAUCAGCUUGAUGGCGGGGUAACGGCCCACCAUGGCUUCGACGGGUAGCCGGCCUGAGAGGGCGACCGGCCACAUUGGGACUGAGAUACGGCCCAGACUCCUACGGGAGGCAGCAGUGGGGAAUAUUGCACAAUGGGCGCAAGCCUGAUGCAGCGACGCCGCGUGCGGGAUGACGGCCUUCGGGUUGUAAACCGCUUUUGACUGGGAGCAAGCCCUUCGGGGUGAGUGUACCUUUCGAAUAAGCACCGGCUAACUACGUGCCAGCAGCCGCGGUAAUACGUAGGGUGCAAGCGUUAUCCGGAAUUAUUGGGCGUAAAGGGCUCGUAGGCGGUUCGUCGCGUCCGGUGUGAAAGUCCAUCGCUUAACGGUGGAUCCGCGCCGGGUACGGGCGGGCUUGAGUGCGGUAGGGGAGACUGGAAUUCCCGGUGUAACGGUGGAAUGUGUAGAUAU
RNAcentral lists this ribosomal RNA (528 nucleotides) under Bifidobacterium adolescentis. Its description in RNAcentral is "bacterial SSU rRNA". It matches the Rfam family "Bacterial small subunit ribosomal RNA", at positions 158 to 697 of the family's 1533-position model. The record is from RNAcentral. Lineage: Bacteria; Bacillati; Actinomycetota; Actinomycetes; Bifidobacteriales; Bifidobacteriaceae.